This 413-nucleotide long non-coding RNA is filed under the name Lactuca sativa (garden lettuce). RNAcentral describes it as "long non-coding RNA (LSAT_LNC007177)". The record is from RNAcentral. Lineage: Eukaryota; Viridiplantae; Streptophyta; Magnoliopsida; Asterales; Asteraceae.
ACAGCUCUUCGUUACUUCUUAAAACAAUUUUUCCUUGACCAAAACCUUGUAUUAAUACCACUAGAGUUUAGUUUUAACGUUAAUCGCGACUAAUUAAUAGUCUAGCUAUUAUUACUAUUAUAUAAGCGUUAAAUAACACUCAAUAUAACUCAUAAUAAUAGCCCAAAUAAUUAUUUUAAGGUCCUAAUAAUGUUACUAUAAUUAAAUAAAAGCUAUAUUAAAUAUAGUAUAGGCGUAACUCACUUACAACGGGUUUUUAUUAAAAACCGGGCUUCGUUGGAGCAGCGUUUCCGAGCUGAAAGCUUUUCUUCUCGGAGCCGUCGGGCGCUCCGGGGCUUUCUUCUCGUGAUAGGGAGGUUCCCUAGACUUGGGAGGGGUUUAGGGAGGCUAGAGAGAAGUUAGAGAGAGAAAGA